GACGUAGGGUGCAAGCGUUGUCCGGAUUUACUGGGCGUAAAGAGCGCGUAGGCGGUCUGUUAAGUGUAGAGUGAAAUCUCUGGGCUCACCCCGGAAACUGCUCUGCAUACUGGCAGACUUGAGGGAAGCAGAGGUUUGUGGAAUUCCUGGUGUAGCGGUGAAAUGCGUUGAUAUCAGGAGGAACACCCACGGCGAAGGCAGCAAACUGGGCUUCAUCUGACGCUGAUGCGCGAAAGCGUGGGUAGCAAACAGG
This 253-nucleotide ribosomal RNA is filed under the name uncultured bacterium. Its description in RNAcentral is "partial 16S ribosomal RNA". It matches the Rfam family "Bacterial small subunit ribosomal RNA", at positions 524 to 776 of the family's 1533-position model. The record is from RNAcentral.